RNAcentral lists this ribosomal RNA (489 nucleotides) under uncultured bacterium. RNAcentral's name for it is "partial 16S ribosomal RNA". It matches the Rfam family "Bacterial small subunit ribosomal RNA", at positions 28 to 507 of the family's 1533-position model. The record is from RNAcentral.
GACGAACGCUGGCGGCGUGCUUAACACAUGCAAGUCGAACGGUGAAGGGACCAGCUUGCUGGUUCUGGAUGAGUGGCGAACGGGUGAGUAACACGUGAGUAACCUGCCCCCUUCUUCUGGAUAACCGCAUGAAAGUGUGGCUAAUACGGGAUAUUCUGGGUCUGUCGCAUGGCGGGCCCGGGAAAGAUAUUGCUUCGGUGGGGGAUGGGCUCGCGGCCUAUCAGCUUGUUGGUGGGGUGAUGGCCUACCAAGGCGGUGACGGGUAGCCGGCCUGAGAGGGUGGACGGUCAUACUGGGACUGAGACACGGCCCAGACUCCUACGGGAGGCAGCAGUGGGGAAUAUUGCACAAUGGGCGCAAGCCUGAUGCAGCGACGCCGCGUGAGGGAUGGAGGCCUUCGGGUUGUAAACCUCUUUCGCCAGUGAAGCAGGCCUGCUCCUUGUGGGUGGGUUGACGGUAGCUGGAUAAGAAGCGCCGGCUAACUACGUG